This 253-nucleotide ribosomal RNA is filed under the name uncultured bacterium. Its description in RNAcentral is "partial 16S ribosomal RNA". It matches the Rfam family "Bacterial small subunit ribosomal RNA", at positions 524 to 776 of the family's 1533-position model. The record is from RNAcentral.
UACAGGGGGUGCAAACGUUGCUCGGAAUCAUUGGGCGUAAAGCGCACGUAGGCGGUUCGUUAUGUCGGAUGUGAAAGCCCUUGGCUUAACCGAGGAAGUGCAUCCGAAACUGGCGAGCUAGAGUACUAAAGAGGAUCGCGGAAUUCCCGGUGUAGCGGUGAAAUGCGUAGAUAUCGGGAGGAACAUCAGUGGCGAAGGCGGCUACCUGGCCCAAUACUGACACUCAGGUGCGACAGCGUGGGGAGCAAACAGG